GGCAAUCUGCCCUGCACUCUGGGACAAGCCCUGGAAACGGGGUCUAAUACCGGAUACUGAUCCUCGCAGGCAUCUGCGAGGUUCGAAAGCUCCGGCGGUGCAGGAUGAGCCCGCGGCCUAUCAGCUAGUUGGUGAGGUAACGGCUCACCAAGGCGACGACGGGUAGCCGGCCUGAGAGGGCGACCGGCCACACUGGGACUGAGACACGGCCCAGACUCCUACGGGAGGCAGCAGUGGGGAAUAUUGCACAAUGGGCGAAAGCCUGAUGCAGCGACGCCGCGUGAGGGAUGACGGCCUUCGGGUUGUAAACCUCUUUCAGCAGGGAAGAAGCGAAAGUGACGGUACCUGCAGAAGAAGCGCCGGCUAACUACGUGCCAGCAGCCGCGGUAAUACGUAGGGCGCAAGCGUUGUCCGGAAUUAUUGGGCGUAAAGAGCUCGUAGGCGGCUUGUCACGUCGGUUGUGAAAGCCCGGGGCUUAACCCCGGGUCUGCAGUCGAUACGGGCAGGCUAGAGUUCGGUAGGGGAGAUCGGAAUUCCUGGUGUAGCGGUGAAAUGCGCAGAUAUCAGGAGGAACACCGGUGGCGAAGGCGGAUCUCUGGGCCGAUACUGACGCUGAGGAGCGAAAGCGUGGG
This 632-nucleotide ribosomal RNA is filed under the name Streptomyces sp. A742. RNAcentral's name for it is "bacterial SSU rRNA". It matches the Rfam family "Bacterial small subunit ribosomal RNA", at positions 120 to 765 of the family's 1533-position model. The record is from RNAcentral. Lineage: Bacteria; Bacillati; Actinomycetota; Actinomycetes; Kitasatosporales; Streptomycetaceae.